GUCGAUUCCGGAGAGGGAGCCUGAGAAACGGCUACCACAUCUAAGGAAGGCAGCAGGCGCGUAAAUUACCCAAUCCUGAUUCAGGGAGGUAGUGACAAGAAAUAACAACCUGGGGACCUCAUGGUCUUACGGGAUUGCAAUGAGAACAAUUUAAACGACUUAACGAGGAACAAUUAGAGGGCAAGUCUGGUGCCAGCAGCCGCGGUAAUUCCAGCUCUAAUAGUGUAUAUUAAAGUUGUUGCAGUUAAAAAGCUCGUAGUUGAACUUCUGGCUGUUGCUGGCGUUGGCUUCGGUCAUGCCAGUAGCGGUCAUCCGUCUGCAAACUACAUUAGCACUUCAGUGGGCUGUGUAGGGAGUAGACAUUUUACCUUGAAAAAUUAGAGUGUUUCAGGCAGGCCUUUGCCCGAAUACAUUAGCAUGGAAUAAUGGAAUAGGACUCGUCCUUUUUGUUGGUUAUUGGUUACGAGUACUGAUUAAUAGGGACAGUUGGGGGCAUUAGUAUUUAAUUGUCAGAGGUGAAAUUCUUGGAUUUAUUAAAGACUAACUUAUGCGAAAGCAUUUGCCAAGGAUGUUUUCAUUAAUCAAGAACGAAAGUUAGGGGAUCAAAGACGAUCAGAUACCGUCCUAGUCUUAACUAUAAACUAUACCGACUCGGGAUCGGCCGGGCUUUUACCUCGGUCGGCACCGUAUGAGAAAUCAAAGUCUUUAGGUUCUGGGGGGAGUAUGGUCGCAAGGCUGAAACUUAAAGGAAUUGACGGAAGGACACACCAGGUGUGGAGCCUGCGGCUUAAUUUGACCCAACACGGGGAAACUUACCAGGUUAAAACAUCGUUGGGAUUGACAGAUUGAGAGCUCUUUCUUGAUUCGAUGGGUGGUGGUGCAUGGCCGUUCUUAGUUGGUGGAGUGAUUUGUCUGGUUAAUUCCGUUAACGAACGAGACCUUAACCUGCUAACUAGUUCCUUGGUUCUUACUGGGGUAACUUCUUAGAGGGACUAUGGGAAGGAAGCCCAUGGAAGUUUGAGGCAAUAACAGGUCUGUGAUGCCCUUAGAUAUCCUGGGCCGCACGCGCGCUACAAUGACACUUGCAGAAAGUUCUAUCCUGGCUCGGAAGAGUUCGGGUAACCUUCUUAGUGGGUGUCGUGUUAGGGAUCGAUCUUUGGAAUUAUAGAUCUUGAACGAGGAAUAUCUAGUAUGUGCAAGUCAUCAGCUUGUACAGAUUAUGUCCCUGUCUUUUGUACACACCGCCCGUCGCUGCUACCGAUCGAGUGGUCCGGUGAACCUUUUGGAUUGAGUGUUGCCUCGUGUGACAUUUGAGAAGUUAAGUAAACCUUAUCACUUAGAGGAAGCAGAAGUCGUAACAAGGUU
Molecule: ribosomal RNA, 1365 nt
Filed under: metagenome
Description: SSU rRNA
Rfam family: Eukaryotic small subunit ribosomal RNA
Source: RNAcentral